Molecule: ribosomal RNA, 953 nt
Filed under: Onchocerca lupi
Lineage: Eukaryota; Metazoa; Nematoda; Chromadorea; Rhabditida; Onchocercidae
Description: 16S ribosomal RNA
Source: RNAcentral
UAUUUUUUUUAAUUUUUUAUUUUGGUAUUGCAUAUCAGUAAAGGUUUUUGUCAUAAUUAUGAAUAAUAGAAUUAAAAUGUUAAGAUUAAGUUUGGUUUUUUUUUACGAAAUUAAUGAUAUUUUUUUUUGGUAUUGAUAUAACGUAUUUUUAUUUCUGUUUUUUAUUUUAUUAUAAGUUAAGUUAUAUUUUUUUGUGUUGUUUUUUAAGGUUUUUGUUGUUUUAUGAAUGUUUUGUAUUUUACAUAGAUUUUUAUUUUUUUUUUUUUUUUUUUUUGAUUAAAUUUUUAAUUAAUUUGUAAUUUUUGCUUUAGUAAUUUUUUUCUGUUUUUUGAUUUUUUUGUUUUUGAAUUUUUAUUUUUGAACUGGAUUUGUUGCUAAAUGUUUAUUAAAAACUUAGGUUUUUAUAUAAAAUUGUCUUCUGCUCUAUGAUUUUUAAAUGGCAGCCUUAGCGUGAUGGCAUAAAAGUAGCGUAAGUGAUUUGUUUUUUUAAUGGUUUCAAGUAUGAAUGAAGUUUUUAGCAAUUUUUUUGCUUAUUUUUUAUUUGAAUUAUUUUUUUGAUUAAAAAUUAUUGGUUAAGGUAUUACAAAGAUAAGUCUUCGGAAAUUUUGUUUUGAGUUUUAAAUGUUUUUUAUUUUUGAUAUUUUCUUGGGGAUGGAUUUUAGGAAAAUUUUUUUUUACUAUUUUUAUUUUUAAAAAUUACUCCGGAGUUAACAGGGUUGUAGACAUAUAAAUAGUUUUUUAUAUUAGUGUGCUGCGCUACAUCGAUGUUGUAUAUUUUUUUGGGAAAUGGAGAGAGUUUUUUUGGUUUGAGACUGUUCUUCUUGUAUAAAAAAUUAACUUGAUAUUAGUUUAGUUCGUCGUGAGACAGAGCGGUUUAUCUUGUAUAUUUUUUGUUUGUGACGGUGUUAGUACGAAAGGAAUGCAAUGUGGGUUAAUAUUUAUGACUUUUUUAU